CACGUAGUUAGCCGGUGCUUAUUCUUCAGGUACCGUCAUUAGAUCUCUGUAUUAGAAAAACCCGUUUCUUCCCUGACAAAAGAGCUUUACAACCCGAAGGCCUUCUUCACUCACGCGGCAUUGCUGGAUCAGGCUUGCGCCCAUUGUCCAAAAUUCCCCACUGCUGCCUCCCGUAGGAGUCUGGACCGUGUCUCAGUUCCAGUGUGGCUGGUCGUCCUCUCAGACCAGCUACUGAUCGAUGCCUUGGUAGGCUUUUACCCUACCAACUAGCUAAUCAGAUAUCGGCCGCUCCAGGAGCAUGAGGUCUUGCGAUCCCCCACUUUCAUCCGUAGAUCGUAUGCGGUAUUAGCGUAACUUUCGCUACGUUAUCCCCCACUCCAGGGUACGUUCCGAUAUAUUACUCACCCGUUCGCCACUCGCCGCCAGGUUGCCCCGCGCUGCCGUUCGACUUGCAUGUGUAAGGCAUGCCGCCAGCGUUCAAUCUGAGCCAGGAUCAAA
RNAcentral lists this ribosomal RNA (498 nucleotides) under uncultured Duganella sp. Its description in RNAcentral is "partial 16S ribosomal RNA". The record is from RNAcentral. Lineage: Bacteria; Pseudomonadati; Pseudomonadota; Betaproteobacteria; Burkholderiales; Oxalobacteraceae.